Molecule: long non-coding RNA, 1180 nt
Filed under: Chloebia gouldiae (Gouldian finch)
Lineage: Eukaryota; Metazoa; Chordata; Aves; Passeriformes; Passeridae
Description: Erythrura gouldiae (Gouldian finch) lncRNA (ENSEGOG00005018586.1)
Source: RNAcentral
CCGGGGGGGGGCAGGAGGAGGGAUACAUGGGGGGAGACACCGGGGGGGGACACCGGGGUGGCACCAAGGGAGCGGGGACACCCCAGGGUGUCACCAAAUGGGGUCCUGGCACCUCGGGAUGUCACCAUGGGAGGAGGGGGGACACUCCGUGGUGUCACCAAGGAGGGGGGUGGCACCCGGGGAUGUCCCCAAAGAGGGGUUUGGCACCCCAGGGUGUCACCAAGCACCGCCCGGACCGGGCUCUGACCCCCGGAACCGAGCUCCGGGACCGCCCGGACCGAGCUCUGAGCUCCGGUACCGAGCACCGGGAACCCACCACGGACCCUCAGAAGUGGCUCCGAGCUCCGGUACCGAGCACCGGGACCGCCCGGACCGGGCUCCAAGCUCCGAGCUCCGGUACCGAGCACCGGGAACCCACCACGGACCCUCAGAAAUGGCUCCGAGCUCCGGGACCGAACACCGGGGACCUACCGGAGACCCCUCGCUCUCACUCCAAGCACCAACAGCGGACCCCAGACCCACCGGGGACCCCCGGGACUCUCCCCACGGCCCCGGGAGGUCCCUCCCGGACCCGCGGCCCGGUCCCGGCAGGUACCGAGCCCCGCGGUGGGGGUCCCCAGGCCUACCCCCACCCCAAAAAUCAUCGCCGCGGUGGGAACGGGGGGGUCCCCAGAGACCCCUGGCGGGUCCUGGGGGGGGAUUUUGGGGGUCCUGAAGGUUUUUGGGGGUGGAAACCCCAAAUUUCAGGGGGAUCCCCAGAAUUUCCCCCCCCCCCCGGAGCUGUGGGGGAGGGGAGGACCCCAAAUUUGGGGGGGGGGUCCCUGGGUGACCAUGUGGGGGCACAAGCGGCUUCCCACAAAGCACCGCGCGGGAAGCGAUGAUAUAUUUGCAUAAUCCCGCCCACCAACGGCAAAACCGCAAAGAAACCAGUUCAUUUGCAUAACCACGCCCACUUUUAAACCCCCAUCACUCCCGCGGAAAAAUAUUUGCAUAACCACGCCCAAAACUUCUCGCAGAGGACGGACUGCGCGGGACUCACCAAUCACAACGCAGGAUUCAUCUAUAUUUGCAUAACCACGCCCCCCAUUCGGCCCCGCCCGCAGCCGCCUCCGGGCGCGGUUCGCUCCCAGAUCCAUCCCAGUCCUCCCGGUUCCCUCCCAGCGCUCCCAGUUCCCUCCCA